GUAGGAUGCAAGCGUUGUCCGGAAUUACUGGGCGUAAAGGGUCCGUAGGCGGUUUGUUAAGUCUCCUGUGAAAGUUCAGGGCUCAACCCUGAAAUGUCGGGGGAUACUGGCAAACUUGAGACUGUCAGAGGCAAGUGGAAUUCCCGGUGUAGUGGUGAAAUGCGUAGAUAUCGGGAGGAACACCAGUGGCGAAAGCGGCUUGCUGGGACAGUUCUGACGCUGAGGGACGAAAGCGUGGGUAGCAAACCGGAUUAGAUACCCGGGUAGUCCACGCCCUAAACGAUGGAUGCUAGGUUUGCGGGGUAUCGACCCCCCCCUGUGAGCCGUAGGUAACCCCCGUUAAGCAUCCCGCCUGGGGACUACGACCGCAAGGUUA
Molecule: ribosomal RNA, 376 nt
Filed under: uncultured organism
Description: partial 16S ribosomal RNA
Rfam family: Bacterial small subunit ribosomal RNA
Source: RNAcentral